RNAcentral lists this ribosomal RNA (394 nucleotides) under Staphylococcus aureus. RNAcentral describes it as "partial 23S ribosomal RNA". It matches the Rfam family "Bacterial large subunit ribosomal RNA", at positions 2161 to 2554 of the family's 2925-position model. The record is from RNAcentral. Lineage: Bacteria; Bacillati; Bacillota; Bacilli; Caryophanales; Staphylococcaceae.
AACGUGAGCGCUAGCUUACGUGGAGGCGCUGGUGGGAUACUACCCUAGCUGUGUUGGCUUUCUAACCCGCACCACUUAUCGUGGUGGGAGACAGUGUCAGGCGGGCAGUUUGACUGGGGCGGUCGCCUCCUAAAAGGUAACGGAGGCGCUCAAAGGUUCCCUCAGAAUGGUUGGAAAUCAUUCAUAGAGUGUAAAGGCAUAAGGGAGCUUGACUGCGAGACCUACAAGUCGAGCAGGGUCGAAAGACGGACUUAGUGAUCCGGUGGUUCCGCAUGGAAGGGCCAUCGCUCAACGGAUAAAAGCUACCCCGGGGAUAACAGGCUUAUCUCCCCCAAGAGUUCACAUCGACGGGGAGGUUUGGCACCUCGAUGUCGGCUCAUCGCAUCCUGGGGCU